RNAcentral lists this ribosomal RNA (492 nucleotides) under uncultured bacterium. Its description in RNAcentral is "partial 16S ribosomal RNA". It matches the Rfam family "Bacterial small subunit ribosomal RNA", at positions 29 to 507 of the family's 1533-position model. The record is from RNAcentral.
AGUGAACGCUGGCGGUAGGCCUAACACAUGCAAGUCGAACGGCAGCACAGUAAGAGCUUGCUCUUACGGGUGGCGAGUGGCGGACGGGUGAGGAAUACAUCGGAAUCUACUUUUUCGUGGGGGAUAACGUAGGGAAACUUACGCUAAUACCGCAUACGACCUACGGGUGAAAGCAGGGGAUCUUCGGACCUUGCGCGAUUGAAUGAGCCGAUGUCGGAUUAGCUAGUUGGCGGGGUAAAGGCCCACCAAGGCCACGAUCCGUAGCUGGUCUGAGAGGAUGAUAAGCCACACUGGAAGUGAGACACGGUCCAGACUCCUAAGGGAGGCAGCAGUGGGGAAUAUUGGACAAUGGGAGCAAGCCUGAUCCAGCCAUACCGCGUGGGUGAAGAAGGCCUUCGGGUUGUAAAGCCCUUUUGUUGGGAAAGAAAAGCAGCAGGUUAAUACCCCGCUGUUCUGACGGUACCCAAAGAAUAAGCACCGGCUAACUUCGUG